This is an RNA transcript of Papaver somniferum (opium poppy), 1308 nucleotides long. RefSeq lists it as uncharacterized. The transcript is spliced from 7 exons. NCBI's taxonomy places the organism in Eukaryota, Viridiplantae, Streptophyta, Magnoliopsida, Ranunculales, Papaveraceae. The record is from RefSeq and is a predicted model, not a curated record.
UGUAAAUAUAGGUGUUUACAACACCUGUCAGAGAAUCAGAGAAUGGUUGCAAUUUGAUUUUAGGAUUUUCCUCAUUUCGAUCUAAAUCAAUUAAGAGAGAUUGGGUUCUAGAUUCAGUUAAAUAAUCUUAACAAUUGAAUUGCCAAAGUUGCUCCAGGUGAUUUUGAUUCGCCUUGUACUCGUGUUUAAGUAUUGGAAAGUUACAAUUACUUGAAGCUGAGUAGAAGAAGAUGAGACAAAAGCAUGAAAGAAAAGAGAAGAAAGUUGAGGCAAUAUAUAAACUGUUUAGCCAUUGAACACUAAUAUGUUAGCCCAAGAUGCCAGCAAGCCUAUCAGAGAAAACAAGCUGGUAAUGGAUCCCAAAUGAUCAAGUUGGAAGAAAACCCCCACACUGCUAUUUCCUUGAUUAAUUAUCGACGGGAAGACUUUGGCUAUGCUUUGGAGGAUGAUAUCAAGCAUCAGUUCUUGAGUUUAGCAGUUGAUUAUUCAUCUUUAAUAUGUUAUCGGGUCUCUGCAAAGCAAAAGGCAAUGUUUUGGUGUCAAAUAGGUAGCAAGGUUAGUGGGAAACUACUUUGGUGAUGGCGUAAAUGACGUUAGCAAAACUACUUCUCCAUUUCUUAGUUUCGGUUCUUGGAGAAACUUCUUGUUGAGAGAUCAGUUAAGAAGAGAAGCAAAGAAAGUGUCGUGGAAAUUUGAAAGACUCAACACAAAGAGGAAAUGAUUAGUUUGUUCAUGUAAAGUACUAUAUAUGUGAUUUCAAUUGUAGAGUUUGAUAUAUCAUGUGCACAUCAAACGCAUGCUUUGGCUGUGAUGAAACUUGUGUGAAUGGAACCCUGAAGAGUUUCUUGGGCUGCUGCAUUGCUUUAUGCUUAACGUGAGUAGGUAUUCAAUGCAACUCGAUGCCUCUCAUGUUUAAGUUUUUCAAGCACCGGAUUAUUUGGUCAACUCAACUAAGGAUGCGAGCAAUGAAUAUCGCUACAGAAUCAUUAUUAAUUUCAUGUCAAGGGUCUACAUUGUAACUAAUUGAAAGGAUCGGGUUCUUGUGGCUGCAUUUCGAAAAUGCAAGCUUAUGUUGCUUAAACCGGGAUGAGAUGCUCAAGGAAGGCAUACUCUCUGGACCCUACAAGAUAAUUAGAGAGUAUUUGGCACUAUAAUCAAGGUGGAAGCAUAUGGAUUAUUGUGGAGAGAAAACACUGCCAAUGUCAUAUGUUCACUUUUAUGAUAAUUUUUGCCGUUUAGAUAAUUAAACAUAUAUAUUUUAGACUGUGUAGUUUGUUCUGUUGUAUAUGGCAAACAGUUAAAAUACUU